AAAGUACAGUCGGCGCACAGAAUCUCCGCCCCGCGCACCCUACCCCCUCGGCAGCACCGCCUUGCCUAACCAGUGUUCUGUGGGAAACACUGCAGAUAAUGUUCGUUUGGCUGCCUGGGGCUCGGGAAGAUAGAUUUUUUUGAGCAAGCACUGAUAAUGCGGAACACGGUCUCGAUUUGCGGGACGCAUGAAGUGGGCUUCAAACCCCGUACGCGCACGCGCUCCGCUCACAGCGCCUCGACAUGCUUCUCCCCGCUGCUCGUGCUCGCUCUAUUUCAGGCCAUGUUGCUGCCCGGGCUUCUCUCUUCACUUUGCAGUAGUCUUGCUUGAAGCGGAUGCUGGUUUGUUUUAUAGUCGUCCUCCAGAUGUCGUCAUGGUGAUAACAAUUAUACUAUCAGCAAUAGUAGAGAUGGACGCGGCCUUUGAGGCGCUGGCUCUCACAGGACGUGGAUGAGCUCUUCACGUGUGUUGUCGUCGUCCUUUUCUUGCAGGCCUUGUAUCUCUCGAGCUCUGUGACUCGUUUUUUGAGAUCUUUAUUUUCUUUCACCAGCAGUGGGAAUUCUUUUUCAACGAGGUUUACCCUAUUUUUGCACUCCUUAAUGUCUUAGCAGUUCAGUUGGCAGCAAACUUGGAGACGUUAGCAUCCAUUAGCGCUUUUAGCAGCACUAAAUUCAUUCUCUUGUCUUUUCAAUCUGCCAACCGCGGAAACAACACUGAAACACUGCUGUUCCAACAUGAUCGGAGGAAAUAUUGGCGAAAUGCUGCAGAUGCAGGUGGUAAACUUUGGCUGUGAAGAGUUUAUCAAGAUUUAUGCAACAAAAACCGUUUUAGAAAAUAGAUGAGCUACAACAUGGACAGGCAAUGGUGAGGAGAACACGAGGACAGCUGAGUGCAACACGUGGCUGUAUGAACCAUGAAGCACUAGGUUCCGCGUGAAGGGAAGUCCAUAAUCCAGAACACAUGGAGUCUCCUUGCUGGAAAUAAAAGUUGAGGGAGCAAGGGAGCAUUGACCAUCGUGUGAACUGACAGAGAAGCAGAUACUUCCAACUAAUUUCCAAGAGGGGUCGCUGGUUUUUCUUUGGAAGUGGAGCAAAAACAACCCUGUAGGGUUUAAGUAUAAAGGUUUGCACAAAGGAUGCUGACACCGACCUUACUGGGUUAAUGAAAAGAGCAUUGUGGAGUUGGAACUAGGAAAUGCUCUGCCAAAGACUGAAAGUUUUUAAUAAAAUAAAAACUUUUAAAGAAA
This is a long non-coding RNA of Boleophthalmus pectinirostris (great blue-spotted mudskipper), 1246 nucleotides long. RefSeq lists it as uncharacterized. The transcript has 5 exons. The record is from RefSeq and is a predicted model, not a curated record. NCBI's taxonomy places the organism in Eukaryota, Metazoa, Chordata, Actinopteri, Gobiiformes, Gobiidae.